ACAGGCUUAACACAUGCAAGUCGAGGGGUAACGAGAGGAAAGCUUGCUUCCCUUGUCGACGACCGACGCACGGGUGAGUAACGCGUAUCCAACCUGCCCCCAACUAGGGAAUAACCUUGCGAAAGUAAGACUAAUACCUUAUAAUUUCCUCAGAUGCCAUCUGACGAGGAAUAAAGAUUUAUCGGUUGUGGAUGGGGAUGCGUCUGAUUAGCUUGUUGGCGGGGUAACGGCCCACCAAGGCAACGAUCAGUAGGGGUUCUGAGAGGAAGGUCCCCCACGUUGGAACUGAGACACGGUCCAAACUCCUACGGGAGGCAGCAGUGAGGAAUAUUGGUCAAUGGGCGGAAGCCUGAACCAGCCAAGUAGCGUGAAGGAUGACGG
This 381-nucleotide ribosomal RNA is filed under the name uncultured Prevotellaceae bacterium. Its description in RNAcentral is "bacterial SSU rRNA". It matches the Rfam family "Bacterial small subunit ribosomal RNA", at positions 42 to 414 of the family's 1533-position model. The record is from RNAcentral. Lineage: Bacteria; Pseudomonadati; Bacteroidota; Bacteroidia; Bacteroidales; Prevotellaceae.